Molecule: small nucleolar RNA, 216 nt
Organism: Cercocebus atys (sooty mangabey)
Lineage: Eukaryota; Metazoa; Chordata; Mammalia; Primates; Cercopithecidae
Gene: U3
Rfam family: Small nucleolar RNA U3
About the family: Small nucleolar RNAs (snoRNAs) are involved in the processing and modification of rRNA in the nucleolus. There are two main classes of snoRNAs: the box C/D class, and the box H/ACA class. U3 snoRNA is a member of the box C/D class.
Source: Ensembl
UAGACUAUACUCUCAGCGACCAGUUCCCAAAUUCAUUACUAGAGAAGUUUCUCUGAACGUGUAGAGCCCUGGGAACCAGGAGGGGGAGGUGAGCGUUUUCUCCUGAGCAUGAGGUGGCUUUAGGUAUUGCUUCAUGGCAAUUUGGCAACUGCCAUGUGCCAUUGAAGAUGGUUCUUAUCUUCCUCUGGAAGAGGAAGAGGACACAGUCUGAGUGGU